This 258-nucleotide ribosomal RNA is filed under the name uncultured bacterium. Its description in RNAcentral is "partial 16S ribosomal RNA". It matches the Rfam family "Bacterial small subunit ribosomal RNA", at positions 96 to 354 of the family's 1533-position model. The record is from RNAcentral.
CGGCGGACGGGUGAGUAACGCGUGGGCAACCUGCCUUAUACAGGGGGAUAACAGUUAGAAAUGACUGCUAAUACCGCAUAAGCGCACAGGAACGCAUGUUCCGGUGUGAAAAACUCCGGUGGUAUAAGAUGGGCCCGCGUCUGAUUAGGUAGUUGGUGGGGUAGCAGCCUACCAAGCCGACGAUCAGUAGCCGACCUGAGAGGGUGACCGGCCACAUUGGGACUGAGACACGGCCCAAACUCCUACGGAAGGCAGCAG